UCCAAAGCCCAAAUACCAAGUCCAUAACCCAUAUGAUUUUUAGCCAAAAGAAAAAAAAAUAAAAACAAAAAAGAGAAAGGGGGUGAAAACUGAUUUCACUUCACCAUCUCCCUCCCUCCUUCUUCGUCUGAUUCACAACACACAAGAACCAAGAUUUUCAACACCUUCCUCUCCUCCGAAGUUCUUCGUCUAAUUCACAACACACAAGAACCAAGAUCUUCAACACAAAAAUUUCAGCUUUGUCGUAAAUAGUUGAAUUUCAGUCCACAUUUCAGACAUUAGGGGCAAUUUUUUUUUCAAAAGCUAAACCAUAGUCCUCACACCUCACACAUCCACCAUUAGAUUUCUGACCAAAAAUCCUCCUAUAAAUACUGAAUUCUACUCACCAUAUUACUCAAGCAAACAAUCUCAAAAGACUCUGAUUUCGUAGACGAGGAAUAUCAAGAGUGCUAAUACGUUCGUGAAUUUAACUUUUGGGCACGCGUCACGAGGUGUACGUGGCUUGUGUUGUUGCUAGCACCUUGAAUUGCAUUGUCUAUACGUGGAUUAAUUAAGCACUUAAGUGAAUCAUGUAAAAAAGAUGGCAUAUCUGGGGUGUAUGGAUUUUGUGAUCCUAAUUAUCUGGCUCCAUGGACUCCAACUAUAGAAGAAGACCGAUCUGACUAUUUAUGUCGUGUUUUCGGGUGCAAUGGAAGCAAGAACCUUAAUCAACUACUUUUUGCACCUUUCCAUGAAAAACGACAUUGGAUGCUAGCUGCCAUAAGCCCUUGGAAUGGAACAGUUUUUGGCUUGAUCCUAGUGGAGCAGACUAUAUCCGUGAAUUCGCUGAACGGAUCAUCAAUGAAGGUAUUGUAAAAUUUAGCAUGGUUCAUCGAAAGGACGUCAAGAAAUUGAAAAAGAAUCCUGUAAGGUGGAACAAGAUACAGUUUCCUCGUCAAGCUCUGAACUGCAAUGAUUGUGGCUAUUAUGUUUGUCGUUACAUGAUUGAAACUAUCCAAGUAGACGGCAAUUAAUUCCUGAUAAGUACUUUCCAGAGAUUCUUAGCACUUAUUCCCAAGAGAUGAUUGACGAGUUAAGAGAUAUGUGGUUGGAUUAUUUAACAAUUAAACACAAGACGAUGGAGAUUGAAGACGACGGUCAAGUUUGAAUUGUACAUAUUAUUUGAUUAUUUUAGAAUUUUAGUUUUAGUAGCUAGCAUUAUAUUAUAGAAACUUUAUUUUAAGAGAAUAAAAUUGGUUUUUUAUAUAAAUUAAAUGUAGCAAAUA
Long non-coding RNA from Beta vulgaris subsp. vulgaris (sugar beet), 1265 nucleotides. RefSeq lists it as uncharacterized. The transcript is spliced from 8 exons. Lineage: Eukaryota; Viridiplantae; Streptophyta; Magnoliopsida; Caryophyllales; Amaranthaceae. The record is from RefSeq and is a predicted model, not a curated record.